AUGAAGCUAGAAUUGUCCUUGCCACCCCUGUUCGUGAUGAGCAUGAGGACUUUUAUGCAUGGUACCAUGACAGCAAAGGGCAGUUCUUGGUUAAGUCAGCAUAUAAGGGAAGGGGUGACUACACCAACGACGCAGAGGAGGGGAUGCCUUCAAACCAGGGUCUGCGAAUUGGUGGAUCCGGAUACCCAAACGUGGGACGAAAGACUGGUGAGGGAUAUCUUCAGGGAGGAUGAAGCUAGAAUUGUCCUUGCCACCCCUGUUCGUGAUGAGCAUGAGGACUUUUAUGCAUGGUACCAUGACAGCAAAGGGCAGUUCUCGGUUAAGUCAGCAUAUAAGGUUUAUGUCAAGAUCAGAGAUGCGGGUCUCCCACAAUGCUCAAAUCCUCAGCUGAACAGCUGGAACUGGAAGGAAAUUUGGAGCCUACCCUGUCAACCCAAGAUUCAACAGUUUGUAUGGCGGCUCGCCCAUAACAGUCUACCUCUGAAACUGAACAUGAAGCGGAGGGGUAUAGAUUGCGAUACUAUGUGUGUUUGCUACAGACGAUUGGAUGAGGAUGGGGCUCAUCUGUUUCUGAGAUGCAAGCAAGUUAAGAAGGUAUGGAGAUCCCUGCAACUUGAGGCUCUACGUCAGACGUUUUGUACCUACAGAAACGCAACUGCACUGCUGGAUAGAAUACUCCGACUGCCGGAAGAUAAAAAAACCUUGGUUGUAUGCCUGCUGUGGAAGUGGUGGGGUUGGAGGAAUAAAAUGAACGCUGGGGAGCAAGCUGGGCCAGUGGAAAAUCUGACAGCAGAGAUCAACAACUGGGCUAUCGAUUCACUUGCUUUGUGUCGACCACCUCGUACUGAACCCCGUCAACAGCAAGUGCAAGAGUGGAGGAAACCAGAGGGAGACAGACUAAAAAUUAAUUGUGAUGGGGCCUUCACGGAACACCUUGGCAAGGGCCGUAGGGGAUUCGUGGUCCGAGACAAGGAUGGGGAUGUGCGAGGGUCCGGUGCAGGGUGUCUGCGCCAUGCGGCUUCAGCGCUGCGGAAAGAAGCAGAGGGAUGUGCCAAGGCUCUAGUAGCUGCCUCUAGUUGGGGCAUGAUGGACGUCAAGGUUGAGAUGGACUGUCAGCCACUGGUUUCUGCAUUGAAAGACUCCGGGUCCGAUCUAGCACCUGAAGGCAUCCUAUUUAAGGAGAUACGUGACUUUGCCAGGCUAAAUUUCAACUCCGUCUCUUUUAAUUUUGCCCCGCGGGCGUGUAAUAGUCUAGCUCAUACUUUAGCUGCCUUUGGCGCUCAUCGCCUGGUUGAUCAAGAGUUCUGGUAUGAGGACCUCUCGAACGAUGUAAAUGUUCGCAGUGCCAGCUCCUUGCCUGGCCCGUCGAAGGCGGAGUUAACUUACGACGAGGUUGUAGUAGUUGCGGCCGAUGGUGACUCCAGUCCGAGAGGUGCCAAGGAAGUGGUCGACGGAGCCACACAUGGUCCAUGCUCCCAUGCAGAUGAGCCUCUCCAUUAUAAUCUUCGAUGGACGUUGAUUAGUGGGUGCCAUGGUGAGAAGACAAGCAUGAGCGCUCCCACCUUUAAGGGCCGCUCAACGAGUCACUUCCAGUAUCAGCAACAAUGCAGGCCCUCCCGGAUCCAAACACAUGCUCCGCUGGUAAAUGCCCAGGCCAAAGCCCAACAAAUCCAUAACAUUAAGGAUCAUAAAAUCUGGAUGGAGCUGAAGUGA
Molecule: ribosomal RNA, 1713 nt
Filed under: Triticum aestivum (bread wheat)
Lineage: Eukaryota; Viridiplantae; Streptophyta; Magnoliopsida; Poales; Poaceae
Description: partial small subunit ribosomal RNA
Source: RNAcentral